This is a long non-coding RNA of Oryza brachyantha (malo sina), 735 nucleotides long. RefSeq lists it as uncharacterized. NCBI's taxonomy places the organism in Eukaryota, Viridiplantae, Streptophyta, Magnoliopsida, Poales, Poaceae. The record is from RefSeq and is a predicted model, not a curated record. The transcript has 3 exons.
GGGACAUCAGAAUCCAGCGUGGUUAUCAGGAAGCUGGCUUGGACAUAAUACCUGCAUCUCCACAUGUAACAGUUCUGAAUUUGUUUCCAUGGAACGAGGAGCAGCUGAAAGCAGGCUUACCUUGCAGAGUGGAUGAAGCAAGUGAAGGAGACGAGGAAGCAUACGAGGAGUGAGAUGUACUUGACGGUGGCCAUCGCCUGGGUGCGGUCACCAUACACGAGCUCCGUCAUGAACACCUUGCUGGUGCUGCUCACCCACGCUCCGAUGAGCGAGCCCAGCGCGAUGCACAGCGACGCCAGGUUCGUCGACGCCGAGAUGUUGCUGGAGAUCACGCUCAGCGCCAGCCCAGUCUCGGCCGGACUCGCCUGCAGCAGCAACAAGGUAAUCAACCUCCCGUCACCGUGGCCACGCUUGGACUACUCAGCUGUUUCAGUUGUCACAGAACAAAAAAUUCAGAGAUUCGGAGCUCUCGCCGGAGCUGCUCCAUGUCCGGCGGUGGUUACCUGCACCAUGCGGCGGACCCAUGCCAGCUUGUUGUGGUUCUCGUAGCCGAUGACGGUGGUGGCGGGGCGGCGGAGAAUCCGGUAGAGGAGGAGAAGAUGGUAGCCCAACAUGAUCACCAGACCACAUGGCACCAGCACCAGGGUGAUGGAGCUGGGCUGUGGUUUGCUUAUGGAUUAAUGGAUAGGAUUAGUACGUAGUACCAACGGUACGUGGCUACGUGCUGGCUUGUCG